AUUGCCUCAGUAACGGCGAGUGAAGCGGCAACAGCUCAAAUUUGAAAUCUGGCUCCUUCGGGGCCCGAGUUGUAAUUUGCAGAGGAUGCGUCGGGUACGGGUGCCUUCCGAGUUCCCUGGAACGGGACGCCAUAGAGGGUGAGAGCCCCGUCUGGUAGGAUACCCAGCCCGUGUGACGCUCCCUCGACGAGUCGAGUAGUUUGGGAAUGCUGCUCUAACGGGAGGUAUACUCCUUCCAAGGCUAAAUACCGGCUGGAGACCGAUAGCGCACAAGUAGAGUGAUCGAAAGAUGAAAAGCACUUUGAAAAGAGAGUCAAACAGCACGUGAAAUUGUUAAAAGGGAAGCGCUCGCUACCAGACUUGGGUUCGGCGGUUCAACCGGGGCCACGCCCCGGGGCAUUCCGCCGGCCCAGGCCAGCAUCAGCUUUCCGUCGGGGGUAAAGGCGUCGGGAAUGUGGCUCCCCUUCGGGGGAGUGUUAUAGCCCGUCGUGUCAUACCCUUCGGGGGGCUGAGGUACGCGCUUCUGCAAGGAUGCUGGCGUAAUGGUAGCUAGUGACCCGUCUUGAAACACGGACCAAGGAGUCAACCUUAUGUGCGAGUGCCCGGGCGUAAAACCCCAGCGCGGAAUGAAAGUGAACGUAGGUGAGAGCUUCGGCGCAUCACCGACCGAUCCUGAUGUCCUCGGACGGAUUUGAGUGAGAGCAUAUAGGGUUGGACCCGAAAGAAGAUGAACUAUGCGUGUGUAGGGUGAAGCCAGAGGAAACUCUGGUGGAGGCUCGCAGCGGUUCUGACGUGCAAAUCGAUCGUCAAACAUGCGCAUGGGGGCGAAAGACUA
RNAcentral lists this ribosomal RNA (835 nucleotides) under Plectosphaerella cucumerina. Its description in RNAcentral is "partial large subunit ribosomal RNA". It matches the Rfam family "Eukaryotic large subunit ribosomal RNA", at positions 74 to 933 of the family's 3401-position model. The record is from RNAcentral. Lineage: Eukaryota; Fungi; Ascomycota; Sordariomycetes; Glomerellales; Plectosphaerellaceae.